GUGGGGAAUUUUGGACAAUGGGCGAAAGCCUGAUCCAGCAAUGCCGCGUGUGUGAAGAAGGCCUUCGGGUUGUAAAGCACUUUUGUCCGGAAAGAAAUCUGUCUGGCUAAUACCUAGAUGGGAUGACGGUACCGGAAGAAUAAGCACCGGCUAACUACGUGCCAGCAGCCGCGGUAAUACGUAGGGUGCGAGCGUUAAUCGGAAUUACUGGGCGUAAAGCGUGCGCAGGCGGUUUUGUAAGACCGAUGUGAAAUCCCCGGGCUUAACCUGGGAGCUGCAUUGGUGACUGCAAGGCUAGAGUGCGUCAGAGGGGGGUGGAAUUCCGCGUGUAGCAGUGAAAUGCGUAGAGAUGCGGAGGAACACCGAUGGCGAAGGCAGCCCCCUGGGAUGACACUGACGCUCAUGCACGAAAGCGUGGGGAGCAAACAGGAUUAGAUACCCUAGUAGUCC
RNAcentral lists this ribosomal RNA (450 nucleotides) under uncultured bacterium. RNAcentral describes it as "partial 16S ribosomal RNA". It matches the Rfam family "Bacterial small subunit ribosomal RNA", at positions 354 to 796 of the family's 1533-position model. The record is from RNAcentral.